GUAGGCGGCAAGCGUUGUCCGGAAUUAUUGGGCGUAAAGCGCGCGCAGGUGGUUCUUUAAGUCUGAUGUGAAAGCCCCCGGCUCAACCGGGGAGGGUCAUUGGAAACUGGGGAACUUGAGUGCAGGAGAGGAAAGUGGAAUUCCACGUGUAGCGGUGAAAUGCGUAGAUAUGUGGAGGAACACCAGUGGCGAAGGCGACUUUCUGGCCUGUAACUGACACUGAGGCGCGAAAGCGUGGGGAGCAAACAGGGAUUAGAUACCCUGGUAGUCCACGCCGUAAACGAUGAGUGCUAAGUGUUGGGGGGGUUUCCCGCCCCUCAGUGCUGCAGCUAACGCAUUAAGCACUCCGCCUGGGGAUACGGUCGCAAGACUG
RNAcentral lists this ribosomal RNA (373 nucleotides) under uncultured organism. RNAcentral describes it as "partial 16S ribosomal RNA". It matches the Rfam family "Bacterial small subunit ribosomal RNA", at positions 527 to 896 of the family's 1533-position model. The record is from RNAcentral.